AUACGCGGCAUUGUGGGAGAUGUAGUUCCUAACUCACCACUGAAAGCUUACACAACCUUUGAGGAACUCCAACUCCCAGAGAGUAUAGCGAGCGUUCCUUCGCCCUCGGGCUCCCUGUGGUUCAUGGGUCCCCGCAGAAUUCAGUGCCUGAAGAAAGAAUGAUGCAAUCGAGUCCGAUACCAUCAGGCCCUGCCUUACCACUUCUGCUUAUCUCUUCUAUUCCUGCACUGAGCCAUGUACCCUCACUUAAAGCACAAGUCCUGCCAGUUCACUGAGUGGAGUCUAGCCUUUCCUACGUCCGGGCUCCUGUUCAUCCAGUCUUGGUUCCUGUCCUUCUGGUUUGUACCAUCCAGCUGUAGCUGACCUUCCAAGCCAUCUCAACAAAGAAAAGUUUACCAGUUCACUAAAAAGCUUGAAAGAAUCCAUGCAAGCAACAUGACUUCCAUGUGGAUGAGGACAAAGCCUUAGGGCAUGCAGGAACAACAAGGAAGGAACCUAGGUCUUUGAAUGACAUUGUGGAACAGAGCUGGCCUACCAGUCCAGAACAGUCAGACUCAUGAGAGAAAAAUAAGCUAUCUUAUUUAAGCCACUAUAUGUUGGGGGUCCCUGUUUCAACAGGUUCGAAGGACUUGGCUGACCACCUCCCUCCGGGCCUCAGUCUCCCCACCUGUAAAGCCAGCAGCGAGUGGAAGGCGCUGACAGCUCUCCGGAUCUCUUCUCCAGGCCGAUGGGCAGGGUCAGAUGGGAGACAGAAUACUGCUGUGGAAAUUGAGAAGAAUUUUAUGUCCCAGAGGUCAAAUGUUUGCUUUUAGAGAAUGUUGGGCACCCACAGCCUAAAAUGAGGCAUGGAGAUAAACUGAUUUCAAUGACCUAAAACCAUGAUCAAGGACCUGGGGUCCAUGGACUCAAAGGAGGCCUUAGAUGGGCUUCAGAAAUGGUGUGAAGAUCCAAUGAAAGUGCUGGAAUAACGUGUGACAUGUGGAUUUUUCUAGGGAGAACACCCACAAUCUUCAUAGGUUACUUCAAGUCUUCAUGCCACUUCAGGGUUUUAGAACCUCCUCUGGUUUCCCUAUGGACUUGGCUUCUUUCUUUCAUGAGGAUAUCUCCCAUCCAGAUAAAUUGUCUUUUGGGAUCUUCUUUCUUAAGAUUUUUUUUAUUUUAUGUGCACCAUUAAAAAAAAAAAAAAAAAAAACGGUUAUUGAAUUUCUUACAAUACAGCUUCUAUGUUUUGUUUUUAUGGCCAUGAGGCAUGUGGGAUCCUAGCUGCCCGACCAGGGACUGAACCCACACCUCCUGCAUUGGAAGGUGAUGUCAUCACCACGGGACUGCUAGGGAAAAGUCCUGAAAUUUUCUUAUUUUUGUUUUCUCACAAGAUUUGAUCCCUGGAGGGAGACCUGUUCUUACUCUCAGCACAUGUUCUCUGCUUUGUUUCAGCCCAGGUUUUUCAUAUCCUCUGCUCCCCGGCAACAUGAAUCCACCGAGUGGCCAAGAAAUAUUGUGGUUUUCCCUUUCAUACACAAUUUCCAAGGAAGAACUUUUCCUGAGACCACUGCCUGAACAAGAGUUGGCUAUUCAAAUAGGAACUUAGAGGUGAACCUGAGUUUAAUUUCAUUUUCAUUUUUUUAGAAAAAGCCCCCUUCUCUUCUCUUCUCACCAAAGCCAUUUCUCUAAAAUAACUUUUUUUCUGUUAUAAAUUUCACAACCCUGCUCCACCCAAAAAUCUAGAGCUGCACCUUGGUACCUGACCAGUAACAACAGGUUUGCCCAUGCUUCUGUUUGUCUAGUAAUAUGCGUGAUUUUUUUCACUUUUGACUGUUUAUGAUAUAAAAGCAGUGAUCUUGGAAAUUCCUCAAAAAGAUCAACAAAGAGUUGUUGUAUGACCCAGCUACUUCUAUUUCAGUUAUAUGCCCAAGAGUUUGAAAAGCGGGGCACAAAUGUUCAUAUUAUUCAUAAUAGCCAAAGAGUGAAAGCAAGCCAAAUGUCUAUCAGCUGAUGAGUGGAUAAAUAAGAUGUGGCAUAGCCAUAAGUGGAAUAUGAUAUAGCCAUUAAAAAAGAAAUGACACAUGCUAUUACAUGGGCAAACCUUGAAAACACAAUGUUAAGUGAAAGAGGCCAGCACAAAGAACCACAUACUAUGUGAUUCCAUGUUUUAGAAAUGUUCGGAAUAGGCAAAUCCAUAGAAAUCUGAAGACAGAAGGUAAAUUAAUGAUUGUUAAAAAAUGGGUGGGGGAAGAACUGAUACUGACUACAGAUAUGGAGCUUUUUUUGGAAUCCUGGAAAUGUUCUGGAAUUAGUUGUGUUUAUAACCAGUCCAUCCUAAAGGAGAC
Molecule: long non-coding RNA, 2327 nt
Organism: Bubalus bubalis (water buffalo)
Lineage: Eukaryota; Metazoa; Chordata; Mammalia; Artiodactyla; Bovidae
Exons: 6
Source: RefSeq, a predicted model, not a curated record